CCCAAUUCCAAAGAGAAAUCCCAAGGACAGUUUUACAAGCCCUUCAUUAGGACUAGCAACUGAUUAUAUCAUUCAAGGGACAUCAUAAAGCAUUAUCAACAGAGAGAUAUGACCAGUGUGAGGAUUGAAACCUCGAAAGCAUCUUAAAAGUUUUACAAUGCAAUCCGCUCUAACCUGGUUAUGAUAUCUCAUCAGUUAUUAGGCAUCUACUACAUUAGUGACUUGGAAAAAAAAGGGAAGUAACAAUGGAAAUUUCACAGCUAUAAGAUUAACUAAAUAAUAAGUGGUUCACAUAUUACCAUAUCAUAAAAUUGUUAACAAACAAAACUGCUCCGCACUUACCAUGUCCGCACUUACCAUGCCAAUGGAACUAGCUUGUCGCUUUCUGCAUUGCCCAUUUGCGUGAUCGAUCUUACAGUAGCAUAAGAGGUAAAAGAACAUGGCACUGCCAAACAAAAAUUUUAAAGACUAUGCCAAGAGCUCAUCGUCUGACUCAUCCUCCUCAACCACUGGCCCAGUGCCGAACAGUGUAUCGAGAAUCAUAUCUUCCCAUCUCCUCACUCCUCUCUCCAAAAUUACUGCCACGGACCAUGCUUCAGCUUAAUCUUAAUUUCCAGCAUUCUGGUCAUUAGCAUCUGGUAGAGAGGAGGUGAAAAGAAAUUAACAAGCUCUCGUUUUUAUAGGCCAUGUCAUGAGA
This 697-nucleotide unclassified non-coding RNA is filed under the name Hevea brasiliensis (rubber tree). Lineage: Eukaryota; Viridiplantae; Streptophyta; Magnoliopsida; Malpighiales; Euphorbiaceae. The record is from RNAcentral.